UAGGGAAUAUUAGUAAUGGGCGAAAGCCUGAACUAGCAACACCGCGUGUGCGAAGAAGGCCUUCGGGUUGUAAAGCACUUUUUGAGAGGAUGAGGAAGGACGGUACUCUCAGAAUAUGUCUCGGCUAACUACGCGCCAGCAGCCGCGGUAACACGUAGGAGGCAACCGUUAUCCGGAUUUACUGGGCGUAAAGCGCGUGUAGGUGGUUUGGUAAGUAGAGCGUGAAAGCUCCUGGCUCAACUGGGAGAGGUCGUUCUAAACUGCCGGACUAGAGGAUGGUAGAGGGAGGUGGAAUUCCGGGAGUAGCGGUGGAAUGCGCAGAUGUCCGGAGGAACACCAGUGGCGAAAGCGGCCUCCUGGACCACUCCUGACAUUCAGACGCGAGAGCUAGGGUAGCAAACG
Molecule: ribosomal RNA, 402 nt
Filed under: uncultured prokaryote
Description: bacterial SSU rRNA
Rfam family: Bacterial small subunit ribosomal RNA
Source: RNAcentral